RNAcentral lists this ribosomal RNA (254 nucleotides) under uncultured bacterium. RNAcentral describes it as "partial 16S ribosomal RNA". It matches the Rfam family "Bacterial small subunit ribosomal RNA", at positions 524 to 776 of the family's 1533-position model. The record is from RNAcentral.
UACAGAGGUCUCAAGCGUUGUUCGGAUUCAUUGGGCGUAAAGGGUGCGUAGGUGGCGCUGUAAGUCGGGUGUGAAAUUUCGGAGCUUAACUCCGAAACUGCAUUCGAUACUGCGGUGCUUUGAGGACUGGAGAGGAGACUGGAAUUCAUGGUGUAGCAGUGAAAUGCGUAGAGAUCAUGAGGAAGACCAGUGGCGAAGGCGGGUCUCUGGACAGUUCCUGACACUGAGGCACGAAGGCCAGGGGAGCAAACGGG